Long non-coding RNA from Hylaeus volcanicus, 1555 nucleotides. RefSeq lists it as uncharacterized. The transcript has 3 exons. The record is from RefSeq and is a predicted model, not a curated record. Lineage: Eukaryota; Metazoa; Arthropoda; Insecta; Hymenoptera; Colletidae.
UUUUACAAUAUUCCAUUAUUAAUUAUAUUUAUAUCAGCAAAAUGUUUUCAAUUUAGACUUUUUAUAUAGGGUUUAAUAACAAAUUGCAGCCAGUGUUGUAAAGUGUUGAUCGAUCUUGACUACAAGAUCCAUACCACCAAAGUGUUUUGGAUUUAAGCUUUUUAUGCAGAGCUUGUGGAAAUGAAGGGGGCCCACAGGAUUGGAGAUUAACAAAUUGCUGCCAGUAAAGUAAAAUGUAGAUCACUUUUGAUUACAAGAUCCAUACCACCAAGUGUUUUGAAUUUAGACUUCUUAUGCAGAGCUUAUACAAAUGAAGGAAACUACAGCCUUGGAGGUUAUUCGUUAACAAAUUGCAGCAACUGUUGUAAAAUGUUUAUCCAUUUUCAUUUCAUUUCUUAUAUUUUUCUACUUUCUUGUAGUUUUUUAUGGGGAUCUUCUAUUUUUCAAUGAUAACUCUUUGAGUCCUCCACUUUUUCAUGUACUUGGCAUAAUUUUUUUACUUUUUUGAAGUUUUUUAUUAAGCUCUACAUUAAUUUGCAAGUAAAAUAAGGUUUGUAUGUGUUAUUUACAAAUAAAAUUGAUGUCAUAUGAGUAACGCACAAUUUAUUAUAUUACAAUACCAGAUUCAGACCCUUAAGUUUUCAAAAGCACACAUAACGCAUGGCAGAAAGUCUUGUUGUAACAAACUUAAAUGUUAAAAAUGAAGUAUGAAAUGAAAAAAGAGGUCUACACUAUUUCUAACCCACAGUUUAUUAUAUUAUAAUACCAGUUUCAGUCUUUUAUGUCUCCAAAGUACAUACAACGCAUCGCAAAAUGUCUUGUUGCUAGAAAUUGAAAUGUUAAACAUGAAAUGAGAAAUAAAGAAAGAGAUCCACUAUGUGUAAUGCACAAUGUAUUGUAUUAGAAUACAUUCACAAGUAUGCACAACGCGUGGCAGAAAAUCUUGUUGUAACAAAUGUAAAUGUUAAUAAAUAAAGUGGGAAAAUGUACAAAGAGAUCCACUAUUGGUAACACACAAUUUAUUGUAUUAUAAUUCCAGUUUCAGUCCUUUGAGUUUUCAAAAGUAUGCACAAAGCAUGUCAGAAAGUCUUGUUGCAAGAAACCAAAUGUCACAAAUCCAAACUGACAGUUACAGGUUAGAAAUGAACGAGCGGCAUGAGUGACAGCCACAUUACAAUUCCGACCGACGAGCCUUGCCGACUGAUUUCGAUAGUCGACAAAUCGAAGAACGGCCUUAGCUCCUAUUGGGUAAGUGUUGACGAAAAAUUCCUUGGCAAAGGAAAAGAAAAAUGCUGCAGUUUUUGACACAUUCAUGAUAUGAUAUUACGAUAUCUCUGUCGUUCGUGGACCGAUUUUAUUGCUUUUGGUUUUAUUCGAAAGCUUAUAUGCGAUUUACAUAAGAAAAAUGCCUUUAGAUUUAGAAAAUACAGCAGGGAUGACGAGAUAUUAAUGACAGAAGUUUCGAGUUAGGUUGGAAUCGCUUUUUCUCGAGUAAAAGAUACGCGAUAGCGCCAGCGCCAGGCAUAUACGGGGAGGCUAUUUUUUCAUGUACUUG